GAUGAACGCUGGCGGCGUGCCUAAUACAUGCGAGUCGAGCGAACAGACGAGAGUGCUUGCCCUCUCUGACGUUAGCGGCGGACGGGUGAGUAACACGUGGGUAACCUACCUAUAAGACUGGGAUAACUUCGGGAAACCGGAGCUAAUACCGGAUAAUAUUUAGCUUCGCAUGAAGCAAUAGUGAAAGACGGUUCUGCUGUCACUUAUAGAUGGACCCGCGGUGUAUUAGCUAGUUGGUGAGGUAACGGCUCACCAAGGCAACGAUACAUAGCCGACCUGAGAGGGUGAUCGGCCACACUGGGACUGAGACACGGCCCAGACUCCUACGGGAGGCAGCAGUAGGGAAUCUUCCGCAAUGGACGAAAGUCUGACGGAGCAAUGCCGCGUGAGUGAAGAAGGUUUUCGGAUCGUAAAACUCUGUUGUAAGGGAAGAACAAGUACGUUAGUAACUGAACGUACCUUGACGGUACCUUACCAGAAAGCCACGGCUAACUACGUG
Molecule: ribosomal RNA, 499 nt
Filed under: uncultured bacterium
Lineage: Bacteria
Description: partial 16S ribosomal RNA
Rfam family: Bacterial small subunit ribosomal RNA
Source: RNAcentral